RNAcentral lists this ribosomal RNA (726 nucleotides) under uncultured bacterium. RNAcentral's name for it is "bacterial SSU rRNA". It matches the Rfam family "Bacterial small subunit ribosomal RNA", at positions 771 to 1501 of the family's 1533-position model. The record is from RNAcentral.
AACAGGAUUAGAUACCCUGGUAGUCCACGCUGUAAACGAUGAAUACUAGGUGUGGGAGGACUGACCCCUUCCGUGCCGCAGUUAACACAAUAAGUAUUCCACCUGGGGAGUACGACCGCAAGGUUGAAACUCAAAGGAAUUGACGGGGGCCCGCACAAGCAGUGGAUUAUGUGGUUUAAUUCGACGCAACGCGAAGAACCUUACCAGGAUUUGACAUCCCAGGAACCCGGCGUAAUGGCUGGGGUGCCCUUCGGGGAAUCUGGAGACAGGUGGUGCAUGGUUGUCGUCAGCUCGUGUCGUGAGAUGUUGGGUUAAGUCCCGCAACGAGCGCAACCCUUAUGUUUAGUUGCUACGCAAGAGCACUCUAGACAGACUGCCGUUGACAAAACGGAGGAAGGCGGGGAUGACGUCAAAUCAUCAUGCCCCUUACAUUCUGGGCUACACACGUACUACAAUGGCGAAAACAAAGGGAAGCAAAACCGCGAGGUGGAGCAAACCCCAUAAAAGUCGUCCCAGUUCGGACUGCAGGCUGCAACCCGCCUGCACGAAGUUGGAAUUGCUAGUAAUCGCGGAUCAGCAUGCCGCGGUGAAUACGUUCCCGGGCUUUGUACACACCGCCCGUCAAACCAUGAAAGUUGAAAACACCCGAAGCCAGUGGGCUAACCGCAAGGAGGCAGCUGUCGAAAGUGGGUUCAAUGAUUGGGGUUAAGUCGUAACAAGGUAACC